This 492-nucleotide ribosomal RNA is filed under the name uncultured bacterium. Its description in RNAcentral is "partial 16S ribosomal RNA". It matches the Rfam family "Bacterial small subunit ribosomal RNA", at positions 29 to 507 of the family's 1533-position model. The record is from RNAcentral.
AGUGAACGCUGGCGGUAGGCCUAACACAUGCAAGUCGAACGGCAGCACAGUAAGAGCUUGCUCUUACGGGUGGCGAGUGGCGGACGGGUGAGGAAUACAUCGGAAUCUACUUUUUCGUGGGGGAUAACGUAGGGAAACUUACGCUAAUACCGCAUAUGACCUACGGGUGAAAGCAGGGGAUCUUCGGACCUUGCGCGAUUGAAUGAGCCGAUGUCGUAUUAGCUAGUUGGCGGGGUAAAGGCCCACCAAGGCGACGAUCCGUAGCUGGUCUGAGAGGAUGAUCGGCCACACUGGAACUGAGACACGGUCCAGACUCCUACGGGAGGCAGCAGUGGGGAAUAUUGGACAAUGGGCGCAAGCCUGAUCCAGCCAUACCGCGUGGGUGAAGAAGGCCUUCGGGUUGUAAAGCCCUUUUGUUGGGAAAGAAAAGCAGCAGGUUAAUACCCCGCUGUUCUGACGGUACCCAAAGAAUAAGCACCGGCUAACUUCGUG